Molecule: transfer RNA, 75 nt
Filed under: Propionibacteriaceae bacterium
Lineage: Bacteria; Bacillati; Actinomycetota; Actinomycetes; Propionibacteriales; Propionibacteriaceae
Description: tRNA-His
Rfam family: tRNA
About the family: Transfer RNA (tRNA) molecules are approximately 80 nucleotides in length. Their secondary structure includes four short double-helical elements and three loops (D, anti-codon, and T loops). Further hydrogen bonds mediate the characteristic L-shaped molecular structure. tRNAs have two regions of fundamental functional importance: the anti-codon, which is responsible for specific mRNA codon recognition, and the 3' end, to which the tRNAs corresponding amino acid is attached (by aminoacyl-tRNA synthetases). tRNAs cope with the degeneracy of the genetic code in two manners: having more than one tRNA (with a specific anti-codon) for a particular amino acid; and 'wobble' base-pairing, i.e. permitting non-standard base-pairing at the 3rd anti-codon position.
Source: RNAcentral
GUGCCCGUAGCUCAGCGGUAGAGCCCCUGGUUGUGGUCCAGGUGGUCGCGAGUUCAAAUCUCGUCGGGCACCCCA